CAGAUGGAGUGGGCAUGGACAAAGGAAGAUUCAUCAUGUAGAAUACAUUGCCCAGACGCCGGGACACCUUUAGAGAGACAAGCAAUUACAUUCUUACACCAGAGUUCUUUUUGUUGUUAGUGAAGUUUGUUGGUUAAAUAAAAGAAGUCCAGCCUCCAAGAACCAUCAUUCCCAUUAAGAAAACCUCAGCUGUUGCAAUAACCUGUGCAUAAUCUGAACAUCCUGGAAGGCUGAUGAUAAAACUGUAUACGUCUUCAACAGUC
Molecule: long non-coding RNA, 263 nt
Organism: Lacerta agilis (Sand lizard)
Lineage: Eukaryota; Metazoa; Chordata; Lepidosauria; Squamata; Lacertidae
Exons: 2
Source: RefSeq, a predicted model, not a curated record